CAACUUGUUCAUGUACGCAUAUAUUGCGAGGGCACCCCGGGAAACCACAAGGUGGCAGCGUCGUCACGGUAAACAGCAACUGCCUGUCAGUGGCGAUUUGAAUGGAGUAUAGAAUUUCAACAUUUGCCAUAUAAAUAAACAUGCUGUCACUUUCUGAAUCUAUUUUAUAGGCAUCCUGUGGAGGUUUCUGACA
Sebastes umbrosus (honeycomb rockfish) is the source of this 193-nucleotide long non-coding RNA. RefSeq lists it as uncharacterized. The record is from RefSeq and is a predicted model, not a curated record. Lineage: Eukaryota; Metazoa; Chordata; Actinopteri; Perciformes; Sebastidae. The transcript has 3 exons.